UCAACAAGCAUUCUACAAUUGGAGAAAGCUACAACAUCAACUACAUAGCUCUUCGAAGGAGUGAUCAACAGAGUUCUUCUCGGAGAUCGACUUGAAACGACGAAGCGCUUUCCGACGUUCCCAGAGAUCAACAACAUCUCAAGGAGGUCUACAUCAUCCAACAAUUCGAGAAGUAUGCUACUGAAGACCCUCAAAUCUUGGAGAAGCUUAGG
This 212-nucleotide long non-coding RNA is filed under the name Solanum tuberosum (potato). RNAcentral describes it as "long non-coding RNA (STUB_LNC006344)". The record is from RNAcentral. Lineage: Eukaryota; Viridiplantae; Streptophyta; Magnoliopsida; Solanales; Solanaceae.